CUGGCUCAGGAUGAACGCUAGCGACAGCUAACACACGCAAGUCGAGGGGCAGACAUAAAAGUAGCAAUACGUUGGUGGCGACCGGCGCACGGGUGAGUAACGCGUAUGCAACCUACCUAUCAGAGGGGAAUAACCCGGCGAAAGUCGGACUAAUACCGCAUAAAACAGGGGCACCGCAUGGUGAUAUUUGUUAAAGAAAUUCGCUGAUAGAUGGGCAUGCGUUCCAUUAGGUAGUUGGUGAGGUAACGGCUCACCAAGCCGACGAUGGAUAGGGGAACUGAGAGGUUGGUCCCCCACACUGGUACUGAGACACGGACCAGACUCCUACGGGAGGCAGCAGUGAGGAAUAUUGGUCAAUGGGCGAGAGCCUGAACCAGCCAAGUCGCGUGAAGGAAGAAGGAUCUAUGGUUCGUAAACUUCUUUUGCAGGGGAAUAAAGUGCAGGACGUGUCCUGUUUUGUAUGUACCCUGAGAAUAAGGAUCGGCUAACUCCGUGCCAGCCGCUGC
RNAcentral lists this ribosomal RNA (506 nucleotides) under uncultured bacterium. RNAcentral describes it as "bacterial SSU rRNA". It matches the Rfam family "Bacterial small subunit ribosomal RNA", at positions 19 to 518 of the family's 1533-position model. The record is from RNAcentral.